Non-coding RNA from Salmo salar (Atlantic salmon), 71 nucleotides. The record is from Rfam. NCBI's taxonomy places the organism in Eukaryota, Metazoa, Chordata, Actinopteri, Salmoniformes, Salmonidae.
UUCCCUUUGGCUCAGUUGGUAGAGCAUGGUGUUUGCAAUGCCAGGGUUGGGGGUUUGAUUCCCAUGGGGGG